This 1443-nucleotide ribosomal RNA is filed under the name Klebsiella pneumoniae ISC21. RNAcentral describes it as "SSU rRNA". It matches the Rfam family "Bacterial small subunit ribosomal RNA". Lineage: Bacteria; Pseudomonadati; Pseudomonadota; Gammaproteobacteria; Enterobacterales; Enterobacteriaceae. The record is from RNAcentral.
CGGUAGCACAGAGAGCUUGCUCUCGGGUGACGAGCGGCGGACGGGUGAGUAAUGUCUGGGAAACUGCCUGAUGGAGGGGGAUAACUACUGGAAACGGUAGCUAAUACCGCAUAAUGUCGCAAGACCAAAGUGGGGGACCUUCGGGCCUCAUGCCAUCAGAUGUGCCCAGAUGGGAUUAGCUAGUAGGUGGGGUAACGGCUCACCUAGGCGACGAUCCCUAGCUGGUCUGAGAGGAUGACCAGCCACACUGGAACUGAGACACGGUCCAGACUCCUACGGGAGGCAGCAGUGGGGAAUAUUGCACAAUGGGCGCAAGCCUGAUGCAGCCAUGCCGCGUGUGUGAAGAAGGCCUUCGGGUUGUAAAGCACUUUCAGCGGGGAGGAAGGCGAUAAGGUUAAUAACCUUGUCGAUUGACGUUACCCGCAGAAGAAGCACCGGCUAACUCCGUGCCAGCAGCCGCGGUAAUACGGAGGGUGCAAGCGUUAAUCGGAAUUACUGGGCGUAAAGCGCACGCAGGCGGUCUGUCAAGUCGGAUGUGAAAUCCCCGGGCUCAACCUGGGAACUGCAUUCGAAACUGGCAGGCUAGAGUCUUGUAGAGGGGGGUAGAAUUCCAGGUGUAGCGGUGAAAUGCGUAGAGAUCUGGAGGAAUACCGGUGGCGAAGGCGGCCCCCUGGACAAAGACUGACGCUCAGGUGCGAAAGCGUGGGGAGCAAACAGGAUUAGAUACCCUGGUAGUCCACGCCGUAAACGAUGUCGAUUUGGAGGUUGUGCCCUUGAGGCGUGGCUUCCGGAGCUAACGCGUUAAAUCGACCGCCUGGGGAGUACGGCCGCAAGGUUAAAACUCAAAUGAAUUGACGGGGGCCCGCACAAGCGGUGGAGCAUGUGGUUUAAUUCGAUGCAACGCGAAGAACCUUACCUGGUCUUGACAUCCACAGAACUUAGCAGAGAUGCUUUGGUGCCUUCGGGAACUGUGAGACAGGUGCUGCAUGGCUGUCGUCAGCUCGUGUUGUGAAAUGUUGGGUUAAGUCCCGCAACGAGCGCAACCCUUAUCCUUUGUUGCCAGCGGUCCGGCCGGGAACUCAAAGGAGACUGCCAGUGAUAAACUGGAGGAAGGUGGGGAUGACGUCAAGUCAUCAUGGCCCUUACGACCAGGGCUACACACGUGCUACAAUGGCAUAUACAAAGAGAAGCGACCUCGCGAGAGCAAGCGGACCUCAUAAAGUAUGUCGUAGUCCGGAUUGGAGUCUGCAACUCGACUCCAUGAAGUCGGAAUCGCUAGUAAUCGUAGAUCAGAAUGCUACGGUGAAUACGUUCCCGGGCCUUGUACACACCGCCCGUCACACCAUGGGAGUGGGUUGCAAAAGAAGUAGGUAGCUUAACCUUCGGGAGGGCGCUUACCACUUUGUGAUUCAUGACUGGGGUGAAGUCGUAACAAGGUAACCG